AGUGAACGCUGGCGGUAGGCCUAACACAUGCAAGUCGAACGGCAGCACAGUAAGCGCUUGCUCUUACGGGUGGCGAGUGGCGGACGGGUGAGGAAUACAUCGGAAUCUACUUUUUCGUGGGGGAUAACGUAGGGAAACUUACGCUAAUACCGCAUACGACCUACGGGUGAAAGCAGGGGAUCUUCGGACCUUGCGCGAUUGAAUGAGCCGAUGUCGGAUUAGCUAGUUGGCGGGGUAAAGGCCCACCAAGGCGACGAUCCGUAGCUGGUCUGAGAGGAUGAUCAGCCACACUGGAACUGAGACACGGUCCAGACUCCUACGGGAGGCAGCAGUGGGGAAUAUUGGACAAUGGGCGCAAGCCUGAUCCAGCAAUACCGCGUGGGUGAAGAAGGCCUUCGGGUUGUAAAGCCCUUUUGUUGGGGAAGAAAAGCAGCAGGUUAAUACCCCGCUGUUCUGACGGUACCCAAAGAAUAAGCACCGGCUAACUUCGUG
RNAcentral lists this ribosomal RNA (492 nucleotides) under uncultured bacterium. RNAcentral describes it as "partial 16S ribosomal RNA". It matches the Rfam family "Bacterial small subunit ribosomal RNA", at positions 29 to 507 of the family's 1533-position model. The record is from RNAcentral.